UACGGAAGGCAGCAGUGGGGAAUAUUGCACAAUGGGCGCAAGCCUGAUGCAGCCAUGCCGCGUGUAUGAAGAAGGCCUUCGGGUUGUAAAGUACUUUCAGCGGGGAGGAAGGCGAUGCGGUUAAUAACCGCGUCGAUUGACGUUACCCGCAGAAGAAGCACCGGCUAACUCCGUGCCAGCAGCCGCGGUAAUACGGAGGGUGCAAGCGUUAAUCGGAAUUACUGGGCGUAAAGCGCACGCAGGCGGUCUGUUAAGUCAGAUGUGAAAUCCCCGGGCUUAACCUGGGAACUGCAUUUUGAAACUGGCAGGCUUGAGUCUUGUAGAGGGGGUGAAAUUCCAGGUGUAGCGGUGAAAUGCGUAGAGAUCUGGAGGAAUACCGGUGGCGAAGGCGGCCCCUGGACAAAGACUGACGCUCAGGGUGCGAAAGCGUGGGGAGCGAAACAGGAUUAGAUACC
Molecule: ribosomal RNA, 455 nt
Filed under: uncultured bacterium
Lineage: Bacteria
Description: bacterial SSU rRNA
Rfam family: Bacterial small subunit ribosomal RNA
Source: RNAcentral